UGUAGAUUUAGUUUAAAGAAAACAUUAGAUUGUGAUUCUAAAAAUAGAGGUUAAACCCCUCUAAUUCAC
RNAcentral lists this transfer RNA (69 nucleotides) under Paraulopus oblongus. RNAcentral's name for it is "tRNA-His". It matches the Rfam family "tRNA". Rfam says of the family: Transfer RNA (tRNA) molecules are approximately 80 nucleotides in length. Their secondary structure includes four short double-helical elements and three loops (D, anti-codon, and T loops). Lineage: Eukaryota; Metazoa; Chordata; Actinopteri; Aulopiformes; Paraulopidae. The record is from RNAcentral.